AUGGCGCAGCUCCCGCCCAAGAUCCCGACGGCGGCGACCGGGGCGCACCACUGGCCCGGCGCCGGCGUGGAGCACCACGGCCACGGGCCCGCCGCGGUGUGGGCGGACGAGUUCGCCGAGUUCGCGGCGGCGCGCCGGGGCGCGCACCGCAGGUCGCUCAGCGACUCGGUGGCCUUCGUGGAGAUGGCGCCGGGAGGCUGCGGCGGGGCCGGCGACUUCGACAGGCUGGACGACGACCAGCUCAUGUCCAUGUUCCCCGACGAGGGAGGGUCGACGGCCCCGGGGUCCGAGAACGGCACCAGCGACAGCGACGGCGACAAGCACGGCAAGGACCGGUACGACGACGGGCACAACGACGAUGCUAACCCGGAGGAGCCGGGGCCGGGGCAAGCCACGCCGACCUCGUCCACGGAGACGAUCCGCGACCCCAAGAGGGUCAAGAGGAUACUGGCUAAUCGCCAGUCGGCUCAGAGAUCUCGGGUGAGGAAGCUGCAGUACAUCUCCGAGCUCGAGCGGUGCGUCACAACGCUGCAGAACGAGGUGUCCGUACUGUCUCCCCGGGUGGCAUUUCUGGAUCAGCAGCGGACGAUCCUCACCGUCGGCAACAGCCACCUCAAGCAGCGGAUCGCAGCUCUGGCGCAGGACAAGCUUUUCAAGGACGCUCAUCAGGAGGCGCUCAAGGAGGAGAUCGAGAGGCUGCGGCAGGUGUACCAGCAGCAGAACCUCAGGAUGUCGUCCGGCGCGGGCGCGGCCUCCGACCACGGCGGGCCGCCCCCUGUGCGCGCGGAGAAGGAGCUCAUGAGCUGA
Molecule: ribosomal RNA, 807 nt
Filed under: Triticum aestivum (bread wheat)
Lineage: Eukaryota; Viridiplantae; Streptophyta; Magnoliopsida; Poales; Poaceae
Description: partial small subunit ribosomal RNA
Source: RNAcentral